This 103-nucleotide small nuclear RNA is filed under the name Salvator merianae (Argentine black and white tegu). Lineage: Eukaryota; Metazoa; Chordata; Lepidosauria; Squamata; Teiidae. The record is from RNAcentral.
AAGCUUUGGCAGCACAUAUACUAAACUAGGAAUGAUACAGAGCAGAUUAGCAUGGCCCCUGCGCAAAGAUGGUAUAGAAAUUCAUGAAACAUUCCAAUUUUUU